GGUUAAGCGACUAAGCGUACACGGUGGAUGCCCUGGCAGUCAGAGGCGAUGAAGGACGUGCUAAUCUGCGAUAAGCGUCGGUAAGGUGAUAUGAACCGUUAUAACCGGCGAUUUCCGAAUGGGGAAACCCAGUGUGUUUCGACACACUAUCAUUAACUGAAUCCAUAGGUUAAUGAGGCGAACCGGGGGAACUGAAACAUCUAAGUACCCCGAGGAAAAGAAAUCAACCGAGAUUCCCCCAGUAGCGGCGAGCGAACGGGGAGCAGCCCAGAGCCUGAAUCAGUGUGUGUGUUAGUGGAAGCGUCUGGAAAGGCGCGCGAUACAGGGUGACAGCCCCGUACACAAAAAUGCACAUACUGUGAGCUCGAUGAGUAGGGCGGGACACGUGGUAUCCUGUCUGAAUAUGGGGGGACCAUCCUCCAAGGCUAAAUACUCCUGACUGACCGAUAGUGAACCAGUACCGUGAGGGAAAGGCGAAAAGAACCCCGGCGAGGGGAGUGAAAAAGAACCUGAAACCGUGUACGUACAAGCAGUGGGAGCCUCUUUUAUGGGGUGACUGCGUACCUUUUGUAUAAUGGGUCAGCGACUUAUAUUCUGUAGCAAGGUUAACCGAAUAGGGGAGCCGAAGGGAAACCGAGUCUUAACUGGGCGUUAAGUUGCAGGGUAUAGACCCGAAACCCGGUGAUCUAGCCAUGGGCAGGUUGAAGGUUGGGUAACACUAACUGGAGGACCGAACCGACUAAUGUUGAAAAAUUAGCGGAUGACUUGUGGCUGGGGGUGAAAGGCCAAUCAAACCGGGAGAUAGCUGGUUCUCCCCGAAAGCUAUUUAGGUAGCGCCUCGUGAAUUCAUCUCCGGGGGUAGAGCACUGUUUCGGCAAGGGGGUCAUCCCGACUUACCAACCCGAUGCAAACUGCGAAUACCGGAGAAUGUUAUCACGGGAGACACACGGCGGGUGCUAACGUCCGUCGUGAAGAGGGAAACAACCCAGACCGCCAGCUAAGGUCCCAAAGUCAUGGUUAAGUGGGAAACGAUGUGGGAAGGCCCAGACAGCCAGGAUGUUGGCUUAGAAGCAGCCAUCAUUUAAAGAAAGCGUAAUAGCUCACUGGUCGAGUCGGCCUGCGCGGAAGAUGUAACGGGGCUAAACCAUGCACCGAAGCUGCGGCAGCGACACUAUGUGUUGUUGGGUAGGGGAGCGUUCUGUAAGCCUGUGAAGGUGUACUGUGAGGUAUGCUGGAGGUAUCAGAAGUGCGAAUGCUGACAUAAGUAACGAUAAAGCGGGUGAAAAGCCCGCUCGCCGGAAGACCAAGGGUUCCUGUCCAACGUUAAUCGGGGCAGGGUGAGUCGACCCCUAAGGCGAGGCCGAAAGGCGUAGUCGAUGGGAAACAGGUUAAUAUUCCUGUACUUGGUGUUACUGCGAAGGGGGGACGGAGAAGGCUAUGUUGGCCGGGCGACGGUUGUCCCGGUUUAAGCGUGUAGGCUGGUUUUCCAGGCAAAUCCGGAAAAUCAAGGCUGAGGCGUGAUGACGAGGCACUACGGUGCUGAAGCAACAAAUGCCCUGCUUCCAGGAAAAGCCUCUAAGCAUCAGGUAACAUUAAAUCGUACCCCAAACCGACACAGGUGGUCAGGUAGAGAAUACCAAGGCGCUUGAGAGAACUCGGGUGAAGGAACUAGGCAAAAUGGUGCCGUAACUUCGGGAGAAGGCACGCUGAUAUGUAGGUGAAGCGACUUGCUCGUGGAGCUGAAAUCAGUCGAAGAUACCAGCUGGCUGCAACUGUUUAUUAAAAACACAGCACUGUGCAAACACGAAAGUGGACGUAUACGGUGUGACGCCUGCCCGGUGCCGGAAGGUUAAUUGAUGGGGUUAGCGGUAACGCGAAGCUCUUGAUCGAAGCCCCGGUAAACGGCGGCCGUAACUAUAACGGUCCUAAGGUAGCGAAAUUCCUUGUCGGGUAAGUUCCGACCUGCACGAAUGGCGUAAUGAUGGCCAGGCUGUCUCCACCCGAGACUCAGUGAAAUUGAACUCGCUGUGAAGAUGCAGUGUACCCGCGGCAAGACGGAAAGACCCCGUGAACCUUUACUAUAGCUUGACACUGAACAUUGAGCCUUGAUGUGUAGGAUAGGUGGGAGGCUUUGAAGUGUGGACGCCAGUCUGCAUGGAGCCGGCCUUGAAAUACCACCCUUUAAUGUUUGAUGUUCUAACGUUGGCCCCUGACCGGGGUUGCGGACAGUGUCUGGUGGGUAGUUUGACUGGGGCGGUCUCCUCCUAAAGAGUAACGGAGGAGCACGAAGGUUGGCUAAUCCUGGUCGGACAUCAGGAGGUUAGUGCAAUGGCAUAAGCCAGCUUGACUGCGAGCGUGACGGCGCGAGCAGGUGCGAAAGCAGGUCAUAGUGAUCCGGUGGUUCUGAAUGGAAGGGCCAUCGCUCAACGGAUAAAAGGUACUCCGGGGAUAACAGGCUGAUACCGCCCAAGAGUUCAUAUCGACGGCGGUGUUUGGCACCUCGAUGUCGGCUCAUCACAUCCUGGGGCUGAAGUAGGUCCCAAGGGUAUGGCUGUUCGCCAUUUAAAGUGGUACGCGAGCUGGGUUUAGAACGUCGUGAGACAGUUCGGUCCCUAUCUGCCGUGGGCGCUGGAGAACUGAGGGGGGCUGCUCCUAGUACGAGAGGACCGGAGUGGACGCAUCACUGGUGUUCGGGUUGUCAUGCCAAUGGCACUGCCCGGUAGCUAAAUGCGGAAGAGAUAAGUGCUGAAAGCAUCUAAGCACGAAACUUGCCCCGAGAUGAGUUCUCCCUGACUCCUUGAGAGUCCUGAAGGAACGUUGAAGACGACGACGUUGAUAGGCCGGGUGUGUAAGCGCAGCGAUGCGUUGAGCUAACCGGUACUAAUGAACCGUGAGGCUUAACCUU
Molecule: ribosomal RNA, 2905 nt
Filed under: Escherichia coli
Lineage: Bacteria; Pseudomonadati; Pseudomonadota; Gammaproteobacteria; Enterobacterales; Enterobacteriaceae
Description: 23S ribosomal RNA
Rfam family: Bacterial large subunit ribosomal RNA
Source: RNAcentral